RNAcentral lists this non-coding RNA (176 nucleotides) under Anaerolinea thermophila UNI-1. RNAcentral describes it as "6S / SsrS RNA". It matches the Rfam family "6S / SsrS RNA". From Rfam's summary of the family: E. coli 6S RNA was the first non coding RNA to be sequenced, but its function was unknown until recently. RNAcentral also lists the same sequence under 1 other name. Lineage: Bacteria; Bacillati; Chloroflexota; Anaerolineae; Anaerolineales; Anaerolineaceae. The record is from Rfam by way of RNAcentral.
UUAGCCCUGCUGUGCUCGUGAUGCCGCAAAACCGGUUUUGAGCCAACACCUAUAAAAAGGGAGCCAAUCUCACGGGCGCGAUGCGAUAGGCUUAGGCCAAGGCAGAGCCACCGGGGCGGCUCCCACCUGCGAAAGCAGGUUCAAAACUUCGCAGCACACGGCACGGUGGGGUGUUU